Molecule: unclassified non-coding RNA, 4275 nt
Filed under: Hevea brasiliensis (rubber tree)
Lineage: Eukaryota; Viridiplantae; Streptophyta; Magnoliopsida; Malpighiales; Euphorbiaceae
Source: RNAcentral
AAAAAAAUUAAAAAAAAAAAUUAAUAAAAGAAAUCACAACAACAGAUGAGUACCAGGCUACUAGCUUCAGUUCUACAUCCUAAGUGCAGCCACUAAGAUACAAAGGUAAAGCCUUUGGUGAAAAAUUCCUAUGAAUAUCAUCUUACCAUGGUGAGAAAUUCUUUCAUUUCAUUGUCAACCUUCUUUCAACACCAUAUGGAAAUUGGAACUACAAAAACUUCACAUGUUCUCUGGAAAACAUUCGCCUUCUUUUUGUAAUCUACAAGUUGCAAUGUGAGCUAUAAGCAAAUUCAAAAUGAUAACCCGCUUUUGUAUAUAUACGAUUCUGAGAAAAUUCAACAUAAAAAAAUUAUGCCGAGUCGUAUUUUCAGCUUUCUCCUGCAAGAACAAAGAAUUUUAAACUGGACACCAUUCUAAUCCCAGCCAAACCUGAAAACCCUGCUCAUUGGUUAUGUACUGCUUUUGGCAAUAAAGUAACCAUCAGUCUAACCAAUGUAAUAUUUCCAAUGUCUUCAUAUUGACAAAAACCUUACUAGCAUUGCUUUCUAUAUUUUAAUAUUGGUUUAGAAAGGUAAAAAGAGAAAAUCAAAGGAGUCGCCUCCCAGAACGCAAGGAACCACAAAGGAAAAACAAACAGUCAAGGAUACAAGGGAAGAUACAAAUGUGGAUAAAAUGUUGAAGCCUGAUGAUUUCCUACUGCAAAGUUAUGUGAAAGAACCGCAUUAAGAGCAAAACUAUACAUAUUAACUCAUUUUUAAAUUACAAAGAAGAAUGAAAAGAAUGACUUACCCCACAUCAGGAAACUAGUUGGAAUUCCCCCAGGAUAGUCAUGGCCCAUGGAAGUCGUCACAGCCUUUGCAGAACUGCUGCUAGUUUAUUCACGGAAUUCUUCUGAUCAUACAUACUUGUUGCCAGUGUAGACACCAUCUUCAUAUGUGUCCUGAGAUUCUGCGGGGUUGUAUCUGUCCUCAAAUGCAUUUUUGCCAGAACAUUUGAACUAUGAUUCCCAUAUGAGUUUCUUAGAUGUCGAUCCCUAACAGCCAAUUGCUCAUCAUUCUUCUGAACACCAGAAUUAUUAGCAGAAUCUGGCAAAGAAUGAGAUGACUUGUAAUUUUGAUAGUUGGCCUUGCUAGAAGAUCUUUUUUCAUGAUGUUUAGGAGUGGUCAUUUCCACAUAAUCUCAUUUUCUAUAGCGGCUACUUUGUUCAUGCAACUUGCCAUGACUUCUAUGUCUUUCUAUACUUCCAGAAUAGAGUUCCCUACCAUGUCUGUCCGGCACUUUUUGGAUAUUCUGCUUGUUCAUGGUGCCUAUGAUGAUCUUGUCCCCAUUGAACAGAAUAUGGAUGCAAAGCAUUCUUGGAAGUUGUAGAUCUGUUGCUAUGACCAGAGUGCAAUAGUUUUUGGUAACUAUUUGGAGUAGAUCUUAUUGCUUCAGAAGACUCGCUAGCACUUCUACUUCAUUAACAUCCAAAGCAACAUCAGUAGUGGAGGGUGGUCUAGGGGACAUCCCUUCUUCUUCAGCUGCCUAGUCAAAACAGCCAAUCCCUCCAGCUCGCUUGAUUUCCUCCAUGUAUUCAUCUAUUAUAUCCCGCAUCACCUAUGGGUGAAAUUACAGCACUAAAAUACGGAGGAUAGCUGUUGGUUUGUCAAUAUGACAACCAUGAAUAUUACAGAUGCAAGAAAUUAUUGUCAAAUUUGAGCUCUCCCAUUUUGGUUCUCAAACAAAAAGAAAAAAAAAAGUGAAAUGCCACCAAAUAUAAAGAAUGUGGUUGGAACUUGAUGCAUCUAAUUAACAUACUUCACAUGGGUUUUUCUUAAUAACAACCCUAUAGCAUUUGUUUGCACCAAGAACAAUAAGUAGGAAUCUCUUAAAAAACGUUGGACAUCUGAUCAAAGCCCAAAGCCAGUAGGAGGAUUGAUUGCCUCCAAAAAAUUAAUGCAUGCUUAAAUUGAUAGAAAUUGUUGCAGGUAGUGAUGAAGUCUGAUGCUGCAUGCAAUAUAAAAUAUCAUAGAAUUCAUAUAACCUGGAUGCUCAAUUUGGGAAUAAAAGCUAAACAUUCUUUAGAAGUACGAUAAUGAAUAAAUUAUAUUAAAAAUAUUUCAAUUCAAUCCACGUCUUCACAGAAGAAUAAGAAAAAGAAACAAUCAGUUCACAAUUCAGCGAUCGGAUAUGUAGGCAUACAAUUCUUGCCAAAAGAUACUGUAAAUCGCAAACAUAUUUUAACCCAAACAUCUAGCCUCUAGGGUUUAAUCAACUAAUCAUGAAUAAGGACUCAAUAAUAAUAAAACAUUCAAAGUGUACUAAUUCAACAUGAAAACAUCUUCCUACCUGCAAAGUUGUCCUUUUCGACUUCUUCUCAUGAUAUGACAUCCUUCGGCGUUUGUAAUCCCUUUCUUCGGACAACAACUCCUCUCUAGUCUUAGUCUUGCUUGUUUCCUUGUGCAAAGACAAAAGAUUCUUAAACUUGCAAGAAUAGUAACUUUUAUAACUAGGAAGCAUUGUCAAGAGAAAAUAUAAGUAUACCAUGCUAGCAAAACAUUACUUGGAGCUUGUUUGGAAUGAAUGAACUUGAACCUACUAACAGUAUAAAUAAGACAUGCCAAUGAAUCAUGUUGUUUCCAUGUACCUGGUUACUUGAUUUCCUUGAAGGCAGGCCAUCAUGCUCAAUAAUAGCUCUAUAGUUAGAACGUGCCUUACGCUCGUCAUCUGCUCUUUUUGAUACAUAAUGAUGCUGAGUCAUCCGCUGAUAUCUUGGUAGUUGUUGAGGCAUUCGUAAUUUCUUUAUUUUUGCUUCUAGUAGUGACCUUUCGUGCAAUGCUGCAACUGCAGCUGCCACUUGGGACACAAAAAUACCCUCUACAUCAGUAUUUUCAUCCACUUCUUUACCUACUUUAGACUCCAUACUUCCUUCAAGAGGUUCUCCAAAUUUAACAUCUCUCAGGCCACUAUCGUUAGCAUCCAACUCUGUUGAUCUUUCUUUCAAAUCAAACUCCCAGGGAAACAACACCCCAUUAGCAGCCUCUAAUACACAUUGCCCAAAAAUGUGAAUAGCAAAGCACUUCGCAUUCAUUUCACCAUACAAAAUAGAAAGCUGAGAAGCAAUCCACAUCAAAACUUGACCCAAAACUGGACAGUCAUAACUCAAAGUUUUCAUAUUCAUACCAUGUCCAAGAAAACUCAAAGCUUCUCUUCUAAUUGCGUUUAAACAAAGCCUAAAAAGCACACAUACAUGAUCCCUCAUAUAAACAUCAAUCACCACCCCAUAACGUGGAGAAUUGGCAAUGACCCACCUCCUCAAGUCACUAACUUUGAUUGCAUUUAACUGCAAAUUGGAACAAAAAACACCAUAUGAGUAUGUACUAGGAUAGUCAACCCAACUCAUAACUUCUCUCCUAAUCGCCCACAAAUCUGAUGGCAAAAUUCUAAGCCCAUUUUUGUCAAACGACUUAAUAUCUCUCUCUCUACUAUCAACAAAAUUUGUACAUUCUACUGAUAAAACACCAGGUAAUGUAAACAUUUUAUUUGAGUUGUCUAAAUCAUUGAAGUUAACAACACCUGGGCAAUCUUUGUAAAAGAAAUUGGAACCAAACUCGUUGAAAUAGCCAUCCAAAGACAAGCAAAGUUCAGCAUUAUUGGAGUCCUCAACUGGCUGAGCAAUGAAAUUUUUGUCGGGGUUUUGGAGGUUUAAGGUUUUUGGGUAAUGCAGAGAGUCAAUAAGAGAAGUGGGGUCUUCAAAGAGAGGAGAUGGACAGCGAAGAGAAUGGCGAAAGAGCGACUCUGGUGGCAUGCGGUGGUGAGGGUUGUAGGGGCAGGAAACAUGGUUAACAUUUUGAGGCUGUGGAGAGCUAGUUUUGGGAUGGAGGAGAGAAGACAAGGAAGUGAGGGUUUGCUGAGACAGAGAAAUGAGGUCCUUGAGUGACGAAAGCGAGGUAAAGAUAUCGGGAAUCGGAGUGGCGGUGGUCAGAGGAAUUUGUGGAGGUGGUGGUGGCGGUGGUGGUGGAGGGGGUUGGACUUGGGGAACAGGGCGGAAGAAGAAAUUAGGGGUAGGGUUAGGGUUUUGAGGGGGAUAAGGGGAGAGGUAGUGAUUGGGAUUGGGAUUCAUGGAGAAGGGUACAGGAAGAAGCCUGAAUCCAGGAGGAGAAAGGCAAUUCAAAUUUCAGAAUUCAGAUUUGUCUGAAGCUCAGCUUGCCAAAUAGCCCUAACAGAGGAAAUUGAGGUGGCCAAACUGCAAACACUUCUAUUAAUAUGCACGUUUCUUCUGCGUCUGCGUUUGCG